RNAcentral lists this ribosomal RNA (497 nucleotides) under uncultured bacterium. RNAcentral's name for it is "partial 16S ribosomal RNA". It matches the Rfam family "Bacterial small subunit ribosomal RNA", at positions 28 to 507 of the family's 1533-position model. The record is from RNAcentral.
GAUGAACGCUGGCGGCGUGCCUAAUACAUGCAAGUCGAGCGAACAGACGAGGAGCUUGCUCCUCUGACGUUAGCGGCGGACGGGUGAGUAACACGUGGAUAACCUACCUAUAAGACUGGGAUAACUUCGGGAAACCGGAGCUAAUACCGGAUAAUAUAUUGAACCGCAUGGUUCAAUAGUGAAAGACGGUUUUGCUGUCACUUAUAGAUGGAUCCGCGCCGCAUUAGCUAGUUGGUAAGGUAACGGCUUACCAAGGCAACGAUGCGUAGCCGACCUGAGAGGGUGAUCGGCCACACUGGAACUGAGACACGGUCCAGACUCCUACGGGAGGCAGCAGUAGGGAAUCUUCCGCAAUGGGCGAAAGCCUGACGGAGCCACGCCGCGUGAGUGAUGAAGGUCUUCGGAUCGUAAAACUCUUUUAUUAGGGAAGAAAAAAUGUGUAAGUAACUCUGCACGUCUUGACGGUACCUAAUCAGAAAGCCACGGCUAACUACGUG